CAGCCGCCGCGGGAAUACGUAGGGUGCAAGCGUUAAUCGGAAUUACUGGGCGUAAAGCGUGCGCAGGCGGUUAUAUAAGACAGAUGUGAAAUCCCCGGGCUCAACCUGGGAACUGCAUUUGUGACUGUAUAGCUAGAGUGCGGCAGAGGGGGAUGGAAUUCCGCGUGUAGCAGUGAAAUGCGUAGAUAUGCGGAGGAACACCGAUGGCGAAGGCAAUCCCCUGGGCCUGCACUGACGCUCAUGCACGAAAGCGUGGGGAGCAAACAGGAUUAGAUACCCCUGUAGUCCCUGUCUCUUAUAC
This 301-nucleotide ribosomal RNA is filed under the name uncultured bacterium. RNAcentral describes it as "partial 16S ribosomal RNA". It matches the Rfam family "Bacterial small subunit ribosomal RNA", at positions 509 to 807 of the family's 1533-position model. The record is from RNAcentral.